Molecule: ribosomal RNA, 157 nt
Filed under: Phellinus igniarius
Lineage: Eukaryota; Fungi; Basidiomycota; Agaricomycetes; Hymenochaetales; Hymenochaetaceae
Also listed under: 10 other names
Description: 5.8S ribosomal RNA
Rfam family: 5.8S ribosomal RNA
About the family: 5.8S ribosomal RNA (5.8S rRNA) is a component of the large subunit of the eukaryotic ribosome. It is transcribed by RNA polymerase I as part of the 45S precursor that also contains 18S and 28S rRNA.
Source: RNAcentral
CAACUUUCAACAACGGAUCUCUUGGCUCUCGCAUCGAUGAAGAACGCAGCGAAAUGCGAUAAGUAAUGUGAAUUGCAGAAUUCAGUGAAUCAUCGAAUCUUUGAACGCACCUUGCGCCCCUUGGUAUUCCGAGGGGCAUGCCUGUUUGAGUGUCAUG